Molecule: long non-coding RNA, 1364 nt
Organism: Zingiber officinale
Lineage: Eukaryota; Viridiplantae; Streptophyta; Magnoliopsida; Zingiberales; Zingiberaceae
Exons: 3
Source: RefSeq, a predicted model, not a curated record
CCAAUUCGGACGAUUUCAGAACCCUAAGCCCACAGGUUCGCCUCGCACCAUCGCCGUCGUAUCGGCCGCCAGCCGCUACUUCUCCGUCUCUUCUACCACCUUCGCCGCCCGGCUCUCCACCACCCACCGAGAAUCCAUCAAUUCGCACUGGGAAUCGCUUCCCUCUUACAAAGUCUUUCCUGCUCAAGGAAUUCGAUCCUAACCGUUCUGUUUCUCUUUUGUCAUCCUUCGCUAAAUCCUCUUUGAUCACCUCCAUCGGCUACGCCUUCGACCUCAUCGCCCUCUGCUCGCUCUAUACAACUGAUUCUCCGAUAUUGAAUGCCUCAUCAAAUACCGCAAGUCAGCGGCCUCCGUUUCGGAGCCUUAAUAUCCUGUCGCUUAUUAUUUCCUAUGGUGCCGCCGGAAUCUUCCAGCAAGCUCUUAUAUAGAGCGGAGUACCUGGAUGUGGUAUUCAAUGAGAAGCUGAUCAGGGAGAUGCAGACCGCAGGGAUUGAGCCUGGUUUGUAUCAUCUAUGCUUAUCCCACUACUAGCCAGUUCAACGUCGGCUAAUGCGGUGUGCACUGGAAACUACAAAUAUGUACCAGAUUUUCUGGCUGAUUUGUUUCAGAAUGAGGAUAUCUGCAUGCGGCUGGCUGUGUUCAAUGAUAACUGGAGGUUGAACAAAGUCUCAAAUUUUGAGACGGCGAAGCAAUCUGAAUACAGCUGAAUUUGAAGUAACGUGCCAUCGCUUUUGAAGCUCAAUAAGUCUAAGGCACAGGAUUUAUCCAUUUGGCAGGCGAAGCAAUGGCAUGACAUGAGCAGAGCUGAGCCAAAUGGAGAGGGAAAAUAAGGAGCAGGUGAGCAAUGAGUGCCACUGACAAAUUUAUUAGCCAUCUUUAUGGAAAGCUCUUCUCAAGUUUCUCAAAUGUCCAUGUUUCAACUCUCAACUAGCCAUCUAGAUGUGGAUAGUUUCUUCCUCCACUGGAUAUAUAUCUGCACUUUACAAUGGGUUGUUCAACUGCCCGGCUUUAUCCUAGUGGUCUUUCUGUUCUUUUCUAAACAGCGAUUCCUUCUUCCACCUGAUCCUCACUAUUAAUUUUCUUUCUAGUGAUGAGUUCAUCUUGUCUGUAUCCUGGUAUACUUUUCAUCUUUCAGGAUUAGUCUUUGUAUUCUGUAUCUGGAUUCUGUGGGCCAGAAAUAGAAGUACAGGAUAAGCUCAUGCAACUUGUUUCAUGUGUGUGAGCCUGUGAAGUAUUGAGGUUCCUUUUUCUUUGUUGUUGCAAACAUCAAGAAGUUCAAGGAUAAAAGUGUUGAGGUCCCCUCAUUUAUGAGAGUUUGCCACAUUUCUAUUGAUGAUUAUUUGCAACAUUUUAUUCUCAAAAGG